RNAcentral lists this ribosomal RNA (911 nucleotides) under uncultured Bacillota bacterium. RNAcentral describes it as "bacterial SSU rRNA". It matches the Rfam family "Bacterial small subunit ribosomal RNA", at positions 1 to 917 of the family's 1533-position model. Lineage: Bacteria; Bacillati; Bacillota. The record is from RNAcentral.
UGGAUCCAGACCUUUAUCAUGGCUCAGAGUUAACGCUGGCAUCGUGCAUAACACAUGCAAGUCGAACGGGACUUUAAUUUGUAGCAAUACAGAUUGAAGUUUAGUGGCAGACGGGUGAGUAAUGUAUAAGUAACCAACCUUUAAGUGGGGAAUAACAAUCCGAAAGGGUUGCUAAUACCCCAUAACAUCUAGUAGCGGCAUCGUUAAUAGAUUAAAGAUUUAUCGCUUGAAGACGGACUUAUAUUCUAUCAGCUAGUUGGCAGUGUAACGGACUACCAAGGCGACGACGGAUAGCCGGCCUGAAAGGGCGACCGGCCACAAGGGCACUGAGACACGGGCCCUACUCCUACGGGAGGCAGCAGUGGGGAAUUUUGGACAAUGGGCGAAAGCCUGAUCCAGCAACGAUGCGUGGAGGAUGAAGGUUCUCGGAUUGUAAACUCCUUUUGAGAGGGAAGAAAAAAAUGACGGUACCUCUCGAAUAAGCCACGGCUAACUACGUGCCAGCAGCCGCGGUAAGACGUAGGUGGCAAGCGUUACUCGGAAUUACUAGGCGUAAAGCGCGCGUAGGCGGAAUGUUAAGUCUGUUGUGUAAUCUCUGGGCUCAACCCAGAAACUGCAACAGAAACUGGCGUUCUUGAGUGAGGCAGAGGAAAUCGGAAUUCCUAGUGUAGCAGUGAAAUGCGUAGAUAUUAGGAGGAACACCGGUGGCGAAGGCGGAUUUCUGGGCCUUUACUGACGCUAAAGUGCGAAAGCUAGGGGAGCAAACGGGAUUAGAUACCCCGGUAGUCCUAGCCGUAAACGAUGAUAACUAGGUGUGGGAGGUAUCGACCCCUUCCGUGCCGCCGCUAACGCAUUAAGUUAUCCGCCUGGGGAGUACGGCCGCAAGGUUACAACUCAAAUGAAUUGACGGA